This is a long non-coding RNA of Mauremys reevesii (Reeves's turtle), 651 nucleotides long. RefSeq lists it as uncharacterized. The transcript has 3 exons. The record is from RefSeq and is a predicted model, not a curated record. Lineage: Eukaryota; Metazoa; Chordata; Testudines; Geoemydidae.
ACACCCGUGGCCUAGCUCCUGGUUGGGAGACUCCGGCAACGGACCCAAAGACUGGCCCGCCCGACCAAUGCCUGAUGCUGACCAGAGCCUGGAGGAGCUGUCAAAUCUGCCCCUUGUCAGUUACCCAGAGGAGUCCAUAGUGCUUGACCCCCUGGAGGACACCAUCCUGACCCAGGACAGGUGUGAAUAACUGUCUGUUUGCCUCUACUGCUGCUGCGGCGAGAGACUCCCACGGCCAGGCUAAUUCCCCAUCAACAACUGGAAGGAAGUACUGAGGUGGUGUGGUCCCCCACUGCCCCGAAGAGGGACAAGUCCCAACCAACCCCUUCUACAUCCAGUCAUGGAUCAGGGCCCUAUAGUGGGAGAAGCAUCACCAAGUGUGAAAUGCUAGCUUACUCAAGAGGUGUUAUCUUCAACAAAAGGUCUACAGACAUCAGACAAGCCACUGCGAACAAAAGACUGUUGAUUGUUUCCCCUCACACUCCUCCGCUCACCACAGCUUGAAUGCUGAGGAAAGGGAAUAAAAACCUGUUAAAAGAAAUUAAUCUUCAUGCUGUCUGGACUCUAACGGGCAAAGACUCCCAAAUAUAAACCAGAGAUCCCCAAGGUACUUGGCUUGGGUUAGCCCUAGAGGACAUAAAAGCUUAAUUA